This 329-nucleotide ribosomal RNA is filed under the name uncultured Lactobacillus sp. RNAcentral describes it as "bacterial SSU rRNA". It matches the Rfam family "Bacterial small subunit ribosomal RNA", at positions 218 to 524 of the family's 1533-position model. The record is from RNAcentral. Lineage: Bacteria; Bacillati; Bacillota; Bacilli; Lactobacillales; Lactobacillaceae.
UAUGGGAGUGGCCCCGCGGUGCAUUAGCUAGUUGGUAAGGUAAAGGCUUACCAAGGCGAUGAUGCAUAGCCCGAGUUGAGAGACUGAUCGGGCCACAUUGGGGACUGAGACACGGGGCCCAAACUCCUACGGGGGGAGGGGCAGCAGGUAGGGGGAAUCUUCCACAAUGGACGCAAGUCUGAUGGAGCAACGCCGCGUGAGUGAAGUAAGGUUUUCGGAUCGUAAAGCUCUGUUGUUGGUGAAGAAGGAUAGAGGUAGUAACUGGUCCUUUAUUUGACGGUAAUCAACCAGAAAGUCACGGCUAACUACGUGCCAGCAGCCGCGGUAAU